RNAcentral lists this ribosomal RNA (704 nucleotides) under uncultured bacterium. RNAcentral describes it as "bacterial SSU rRNA". It matches the Rfam family "Bacterial small subunit ribosomal RNA", at positions 141 to 844 of the family's 1533-position model. The record is from RNAcentral.
GGAUAACACUUAGAAAUAGGUGCUAAUACCGCAUAAGCGCACAGCUUCGCAUGAAGUGGUGUGAAAAACUCUGGUGGUAUACGAUGGUUCCGCGUCUGAUUAGCUUGUUGGUGGGGUAAUGGCUCACCAAGGCGACGAUCAGUAGCCGGCCUGAGAGGGUGAACGGCCACAUUGGGACUGAGACACGGCCCAAACUCCUACGGGAGGCAGCAGUGGGGAAUAUUGCACAAUGGGGGAAACCCUGAUGCAGCGACGCCGCGUGAGUGAAGAAGUAUUUCGGUAUGUAAAGCUCUAUCAGCAGGGAAGAAAUAGCGACCUUUGGGUCGCCAGACGGUACCUGAUUAAGAAGCCCCGGCUAACUACGUGCCAGCAGCCGCGGUAAUACGUAGGGGGCAAGCGUUAUCCGGAUUUACUGGGUGUGAAGGGAGCGUAGACGGCAGCACAAGUCUGAAGUGAAAUGCCGGGGCUUAACCCCGGAACUGCUUUGGAAACUGUGCAGCUAGAGUGCAGGAGAGGUAAGUGGAAUUCCUAGUGUAGCGGUGAAAUGCGUAGAUAUUAGGAGGAACACCAGUGGCGAAGGCGGCUUACUGGACUGUAACUGACGUUGAGGCUCGAAAGCGUGGGGAGCAAACAGGAUUAGAUACCCUGGUAGUCCACGCUGUAAACGAUGAUUACUAGGUGUUGGGGGACCAAGGUCCUUCGGU